This 253-nucleotide ribosomal RNA is filed under the name uncultured bacterium. RNAcentral describes it as "partial 16S ribosomal RNA". It matches the Rfam family "Bacterial small subunit ribosomal RNA", at positions 524 to 776 of the family's 1533-position model. The record is from RNAcentral.
UACGUAGGGUGCAAGCGUUGUCCGGAAUUAUUGGGCGUAAAGAGCUCGCAGGCGGUUUGUCGCGUCUGCUGUGAAAUCUCAGGGCUUAACCCUGAGCCUGCAGUGGGUACGGGCAGACUAGAGUGUGGUAGGGGAGAUCGGAAUUCCUGGUGUAGCGGUGGAAUGCGCAGAUAUCAGGAGGAACACCGGUGGCGAAGGCGGAUCUCUGGGCCAUAACUGACGCUGAGGAGCGAAAGCAUGGGGAGCGAACAGG